UCCAGACUCCUACGGGAGGCAGCAGUGGGGGAUAUUGCACAAUGGGGGGAACCCUGAUGCAGCGACGCCGCGUGGGUGAAGAAGCGCCUCGGCGCGUAAAGCCCUGUCAGCAGGGAAGAAAAUGACGGUACCUGAAGAAGAAGCCCCGGCUAACUACGUGCCAGCAGCCGCGGUAAUACGUAGGGGGCAAGCGUUAUCCGGAUUUACUGGGUGUAAAGGGGGCGCAGACGGCAGCGCAAGCCAGGAGUGAAAGCCCGGGGCCCAACCCCGGGACUGCUCUUGGAACUGCGCGGCUGGAGUGCAGGAGGGGCAGGCGGAAUUCCUGGUGUAGCGGUGAAAUGCGUAGAUAUACGGAGGAACACCAGUGGCGAAGGCGGCCUGCUGGACAUUAACUGACGCUGAGGCGCGAAAGCGUGGGGAGCAAACAGGAUUAGAUACCCUUGUACCA
This 448-nucleotide ribosomal RNA is filed under the name uncultured bacterium. Its description in RNAcentral is "partial 16S ribosomal RNA". It matches the Rfam family "Bacterial small subunit ribosomal RNA", at positions 330 to 797 of the family's 1533-position model. The record is from RNAcentral.